UAAGGUCAGUUUUCUUUUCUUUUCUUUUCUUUUUGGGUUUUUUUUGUGGGUUUUCAGUUCGUUAAUCUAUGACUCUUUGUUCAGAUUUUUCGUUCGUGUAUGAUUAAAUGGGUAUUGGGUUUUGGUGGUUGAAAAUAUGUUUUUUUUCCUGCUUAUGCUUCUUGCUCAUUUUUCUUGGGAUUUUUUGUUUUGAGUUGCAAGGGUUAAGAGACCACUAAAAUCUUAGGUUAAUGGGUAUUGGGUUUUGGUGGUUGAAAAUAUGAUUUUUUCUGGUUAAGCUUCUUGCUCAUUUUUCUAGGAUUUUUGUUUUUCAGUUGCAAGGGUAAAGAGAAUAAUAAAAUCUUGGAAAUCGGUAUUGGCAUUUGUAUUAAUGCAUUUCCAUUUUUGUUGAUUUGCAGGAUAGGUGCAUUGACACCUAAAAAUAUUUGUGUGAACUUCAUAAAUUUUUCUGAGGCUCCAAACGUUGAAGGAUUGAUGGAGAUGAUGCCGCUUCAUUGUCUGAGGCCAUACCAGCCAGCAAACAAGCUCCAAAUUAGGGUUUGUAGGAUGUGGAUCACAUAAACCAUCGAAGAUGAUCCUCAGCCACAAAGUCUCGAUUGUGUGUUUGUCGAUAAAGAAGUGAGAAUUUUGCACCUUUUUCGUUAUUGUAAGAUGCUUAUGUUUUUAUAUAACCAAGUGUACAUACUGUGUUCUUGGUACAACAAAUUUUAUGGUCAAACAUUCUCUAAAGUUCAUGAACUAAUUGCUCUACGCAAUUCGCUGCCCAAUUAUACAUCACUUCUACAUGAUUAUGUUUGUGUGGUUAA
Molecule: long non-coding RNA, 806 nt
Organism: Pyrus x bretschneideri (Chinese white pear)
Lineage: Eukaryota; Viridiplantae; Streptophyta; Magnoliopsida; Rosales; Rosaceae
Exons: 2
Source: RefSeq, a predicted model, not a curated record